RNAcentral lists this transfer RNA (73 nucleotides) under Propionibacteriaceae bacterium. RNAcentral's name for it is "tRNA-Thr". It matches the Rfam family "tRNA". From Rfam's summary of the family: Transfer RNA (tRNA) molecules are approximately 80 nucleotides in length. The record is from RNAcentral. Lineage: Bacteria; Bacillati; Actinomycetota; Actinomycetes; Propionibacteriales; Propionibacteriaceae.
GCCUCCGUAGCUCAGCGGUCAGAGUUCUCGCCUUGUAAGCGAGCGGUCGAGGGUUCGACUCCCUCCGGGGGCU